Molecule: transfer RNA, 75 nt
Filed under: Promethearchaeota archaeon Loki_b31
Lineage: Archaea; Promethearchaeati; Promethearchaeota
Description: Candidatus Lokiarchaeota archaeon Loki_b31 tRNA-Lys
Rfam family: tRNA
About the family: Transfer RNA (tRNA) molecules are approximately 80 nucleotides in length. Their secondary structure includes four short double-helical elements and three loops (D, anti-codon, and T loops).
Source: RNAcentral
GCUUCUGUAGUGUAGUCCGGUCAAACUUACUGAUUUCUUACCCUCGUGACCCGGGUUCAAAUCCCGGCAGAAGCA